GAUGAACGCUGGCGGCGUGCUUAACACAUGCAAGUCGAACGGAAAGGCCCAAGCUUGCUUGGGUACUCGAGUGGCGAACGGGUGAGUAACACGUGGGUGAUCUGCCCUGCACUUCGGGAUAAGCCUGGGAAACUGGGUCUAAUACCGGAUAGGACCACAUUUUGGAUGGUGUGGUGGAAAGUUUUUCGGUGUGGGAUGAGCUCGCGGCCUAUCAGCUUGUUGGUGGGGUAAUGGCCUACCAAGGCGUCGACGGGUAGCCGGCCUGAGAGGGUGUACGGCCACAUUGGGACUGAGAUACGGCCCAGACUCCUACGGGAGGCAGCAGUGGGGAAUAUUGCACAAUGGGCGCAAGCCUGAUGCAGCGACGCCGCGUGGGGGAUGACGGCCUUCGGGUUGUAAACUCCUUUCGCUAGGGACGAAGCGUUUUUGUGACGGUACCUGGAGAAGAAGCAUCGGCUAACUACGUG
This 467-nucleotide ribosomal RNA is filed under the name uncultured bacterium. RNAcentral's name for it is "partial 16S ribosomal RNA". It matches the Rfam family "Bacterial small subunit ribosomal RNA", at positions 28 to 507 of the family's 1533-position model. The record is from RNAcentral.